Molecule: small nuclear RNA, 107 nt
Organism: Mesocricetus auratus (golden hamster)
Lineage: Eukaryota; Metazoa; Chordata; Mammalia; Rodentia; Cricetidae
Source: Ensembl
AUGCUCACUUUGGUAGUACGUCUACUAAAACUACAGUGACACAGAGAAGACUCACAUGGCCCCCAUACAAGAAUGACAGACAAAUGUGUGCAGCACUCCAUACUUUU